This 6835-nucleotide unclassified non-coding RNA is filed under the name Hevea brasiliensis (rubber tree). Lineage: Eukaryota; Viridiplantae; Streptophyta; Magnoliopsida; Malpighiales; Euphorbiaceae. The record is from RNAcentral.
UUUUUUUUUUUUUUGGGUUUUUGGCUUUCUGUUGUUGUAGUCUGCCUGUUUUUCUCUUUAGUUGCGUAAGUUGUCAUAAGUUCUCUUACUUGUUUUAGGGUGGGAGUUGGUUUUUGGUAUUGGUUAUCGCAUAGCGGGUAAGAUAAGGGAAGGGGCCUAGGAUUGCAUGGGCGAGCAUGAGAGGCUAUUGCCAAACGGCCUAUUGCCUAACGAAGCGGCCUCUCUGAUCCGAGUGCUUGACUCGGAGCGAUGGUUAAAGGCCGAAGAGAGAACUGCAGAGCUCAUUGUCUGCAUUCAGCCCAACGAGCUCUCGGAAGAGCGCAGAAAUGCUGUAGCCGAUUAUGUGCAGCGGCUUAUCAUGAAGUGCUUUCCCUGCCAGGUGUUCACUUUUGGGUCUGUACCUCUUAAGACUUAUUUGCCUGAUGGAGACAUCGACUUAACAGCUUUCAGUAAGAAUCAAAAUAUGAAAGAUUCAUGGGCUCAUCAGGUUCAUGAAAUGCUGGAGAAUGAGGAGAAGAAUGAGAAUGCUGAAUUCCGUGUGAAAGAAGUUCAGUACAUUCAGGCAGAGGUAGGUCCCUUUUGUUACUCAUUACAUUUUUGUUAUUGUUAAAGGCUGUCUGGUCAUCUCCCUUGCUUCACUAUCCCUUUUUUAUUUUUGUUUAAUUUUUUAAUUAUUGCCAAUGUUUUCAAAGGCAAGGCAGGUGCUUGACUUGGUGGUGUCCAGGUAAGUUGAGGUGCUGGCAAAGCACCUUGUUUAGGUCUUGGUGAGGCAACUUCAUCUAGGUAUUGCAUAGUACCUGAGCUAAGGCAUUAGAUGCCCAAGCACUUGAGGUGCUUGGCUCAUUCACUUGAUCCUCUUUUUAAUUUUUCUUUUCUCCCACUUAUUACAUUCCCUUCUAAAUGAUGGACUUGAGAGUCAAAUAUGGCAAAGCAUGAGAUCGCAAUUAUAAAAUGCGAGAGGAAUGAGUUAUCCCUUUCCUUAGCUUCUAUUAGGGCACAUGUAUCUCUUCUACGAGCAUAAGUAGAAAAAAAGGAGACAAAGAAUAUUGGAGUAAAAUAAUUAUUUUUUUUAAUCAGUGCCUUGCUUUGCUUGAGCCGGCGCCUGUUUCAUUGGGUGACAAAGGGUACCAUUUUGAUUUUGAUACCUUCUAAUCUUGAAGUUCAUGGGGUGGCAUUAGCCCAUCUAAACGUUUUUGUCCAACUAUUCUAAUAGUGGACUUGUGAUCAAUGGAGUUGGUGAAUGUUUCAAAGUCUUAUGGUUGUAUAACCAUUCAUGUGACAUUGAGGCUUUUUAUAGUUUUAUACGUUAUCCUCUAGAGAAGAUAAUUAAGUGAUAUUCACUCUGGUGAUGAGAUCCCAAACUUGAAGUUAACUUUAAUGUGGAGGGAAGUGUAGAUUGUGAAGCAUAUAGGUAAAAGUGUUCAAAUUACUGAUUAUAAGAGAAUUAUAUGAGGAAAAGUAAUGGAACGUCAGAAUGUGCAAGUGCAUCAGCUUUUCCUUUGUGAGCCAUCAUCAUAUCUGAACUCUUUGAAAAAUGCUUAGAGAUGGCUCUGACAAUCAAUAUAUAAGAUAAAACCUGAUUCUCCUUCCAAUGCAAGUUUUUCAGUUGAUUAAUUUUAGAUAUGAUCUUAUCCUGUGGUUUGCUGGAACAUUCUGCUUGGAUUGGAUAUGAAUGAGUACGUUAAAGCUGAGGAUUGCUUACCAAGGUUUUUUUGACAACUGCAUUUUUUUAUGCUCUUUUCUCCACAUAGGUUAGUGGCAAAAAAUUGCAAGUUGACUCUUCGGAGAUUUAUGUGUUGGAUUGCCUUAAUUUUCAGCAUUUGGAUGAUACACAUAGGGCUAUGUGUAUUCUUGUUAGUUUGAUCACAGUGAGAUGGAGAUUAAUCACCAAGUGGGCCCACCAAUACCAUUAGCAAAACUUCCUCACCAUUCUGGGAUGACAUUUAGGCCGGUGCUAUGAAUGGCUCACAGAAUUCCGGCUAUAGCUUUUGAUGCUUAUCAUAUUACUGAUCUAGAAAACUUUUGGCCCAUUGUUUUUUUAUUUACUUGGUUCUUGAUGAGACAUUGAGCAUCUUUCUGGUUUGAGUAUACAUACAGGUGAAGAUAAUAAAAUGUCUUGUGGAAAAUAUUGUUGUAGACAUAUCUUUUAAUCAGCUUGGUGGGCUAUGCACCCUUUGUUUCCUUGAGGAGGUUGAUCAUUUGAUAAAUCAAAAUCAUUUAUUCAAGAAGAGUAUUAUAUUGAUAAAGGCAUGGUGUUAUUAUGAGAGUCGUAUUCUGGGGGCUCACCAUGGAUUGAUUUCCACUUAUGCUCUGGAAACCUUAGUUCUUUAUAUUUUUCAUGUUUUCAACAAUUCUUUUGCUGGACCGCUUGAGGUUCUCUACCGUUUUCUUGAGUUCUUCAACAAGUUUGACUGGGACAACUUUUGUGUUAGCCUUUGGGGGCCUGUGCCCAUCAGUUCACUUCCAGAUGUAGCAGCGGAACCUCCUCGAAAGGAUGGCGGAGAGUUAUUGCUAAGCAAAUUAUUUCUUGAGGCCUGCAGUGCAGUAUAUGCUGUUUUCCCUGGCGGCCAAGAAAAUCAAGGGCAACCUUUCAUGUCCAAACACUUCAAUGUUAUCGAUCCUUUGCGUAUGAACAACAACCUUGGACGUAGUGUUAGUAAAGGGAAUUUCUUUAGGAUACGUAGUGCAUUUGCAUUUGGGGCUAAAAAGCUGGCGAGGUUACUUGAUUGCCCAAAGGAGGACAUUUUUUUUGAAGUAAAUCAAUUCUUUAUGAACACCUGGGAUAGACAUGGUAGUGGCCAGCGUCCCGAUGCACCAAUAAAUGAUUUGUGGCGCUUGAGAUUGUCAACUCCUGACCUUUCACAUGGGUCUGAUAAUCUCAGGUACAAUUCAAAUAGCAGAACUUCUGGUUGUGAAGCUCAAGUUGAUGUGGCGCAUGGUUCACUUAGUGUUCCCUCUCAACAUGGUUAUUAUCCCUUGGAAAGCUCAUCCAGAAGUAGUGAAGUUUCUGUAUUUUCUUGUAGUCAUAGCCAAGAGACUUCUAUUAAUCCAAAUAACACAAACAACUCUGAUCAAGCUAGGAGGGAAAGUAGUUUUAAUCAGGGCUUGCAUGCUGAGAGACACCAGAAAAGUUCUAAACCGAAUAACUUGGUCAGUGACCUUCAGGGAAGGUAUCUUUUUGCAAGAACACGCUCUAGUCCUGAGCUUACUGAGACAUAUAGUGAAGUUUCUUUCCAUGGGAGGCAUAACAGAGCUCAAGAAGCUGGAAAAGGCCAGAGCUCUUCUGUAAGGUUAGAUAACAGCAGGAGGAAAAACCUGGAAUCAGAUAAUUUGGGAAGUCAUGGAAUUAGAUCUUCAAAUGAUGAUCCUUCAUCCACUGGACAGACCUCAUCUGGUGAAAGACUUGAUGUUGCUGGUGAUUCUAACAAUGCCUCAAAUAGUUACCAUGUAGAUUCAGUCCAAUGUGCUACUGGUGAAGAAUUUGCUUCUGUCAUUGGGGCACAGGGGAUGCAUCAGGAGGAGCAAGAUUUUGUUAACAUGAUGGCAUCUUCCACAGGUCUUGGUUUGAAUGGACAGGUUCAUCUUCCACUGAAUUUGGCUUCAAGUCACAUACCUCUUCCAGUCUCAUCUUCUGUUCUUGCUUCAAUGGGAUAUCUUCAGAGAAACUUGGGUGGAAUGGUACAUGCUAAUAUUCCCAUGAUGGAUAAUCCUUGGGGCACAAAUAUGCAAUUUCCUCAAGGCUUGGUUUCUUCGCCAUUAAAUCAUUAUUUUCAUGGCUUAGGAUUGAACUCAAGUACAGAAGAUUCAGUUGAACCUGUAAAUGAGAAUUUUAGUUCGAUGGAAAUGAACCUCAGUGAGGCUAAUCACAAUUUCUGGGAUGAGCCAGAAAGGGGCUCUGCCUGUAUUGACAAUGGAGGCUUUGAAAUACAUCAAUCAGAUGACAAGCAGCAUUCCACUUCAGCUAGCUAUAACUUUGUUCCUUCAUGCCGAUUAAGUGGCUCUGUUAGCUCUUUGAGAGUUCAACAGAACUUAACCGAAGAAGCCCAAGGGUCAAUGAAGGAAGAUCUCAUUGAUACUUCACCAUAUCAAGAGAACAGGGGUGCUGAAGUUUACUUCGAUGACAGAAUGGCAGGUUCAAGAUCCUUUCCUGCUGUGAAUACUAGUUGCCUGAGAAGUAAAACCUCUUCUGAGAGUUCAUGGGAAGGAUCACCUGCAAAGGCAUCAAAGCCAACAAGGGAAAAGAGAAAUAGGAAAACAGCUUCUUCAGUAGUGCCAUCUGCUGUUUUUGGGAAAGGUAAGAAUGUGUCUGAACAUUCAUCCAAUCAGGCAGAUGAUGAAAGCCAAGACCGGAAUCAGCUGUCCACAAUGUGCCUUGAAAUGACUGAAAAAAGCAUAGUACCUCCAUCUGCUGCUGCUACUGUGCAUGAUCCAAGGCAUCAAAUUCCUGGAUUUGAAACAGCACAGACAAGUGGAUCUGAGUCAUUUAUACCUAUUGCUCCGAUGCUUUUAGGUCCUGGUUCAAGGCAAAGAACUACAGAUAAUUCAGGGGUUGUUCCCUUUGCAUUUUAUCCUACAGGGCCACCUGUUCCUUUUGUUACAAUGCUUCCAGUGUACAACUUUCCUACUGAGACAGGAACUUCUGGUGCAUCAACAAGCCAAUUUAGUGUUGAGGAGGUUGUAGAUAACAGUGAUUCUGGUCAGAAUUUUGAUUCAUCUGAGCGACUUGAUCAAUCUGAGGUGUUAAGCACUUCUAACUCUAUGAGAAGGCCUGUUUUUGGAGAGCCAUUGGAGCAUAAAUCUGACAUUCUUAACAGUGAUUUUGCUAGCCACUGGCAAAACUUGCAAUAUGGACGGUUUUGCCAAAACUCACGGGAUCCCACACCUUUGGUUUAUCCUUCACCUCUGAUGAUGCCACCUGUAUAUUUACAAGGUCGUAUUCCAUGGGAUGUGCCCGGGAGACCUCUUUCAACCAACAUGAAUCUUUUCACGCAGCUUAUGAGUUAUGGGCCACGUCUUGUUCCUGUUGCUGCUCUUCAGUCUGUUUCUAAUAGACCUGCUGGUGUUUACCAGCAUUAUGUUGAUGAAAUGCCAAGAUUUCGUAGUGGGACUGGGACCUACCUGCCAAAUCCUGUAAGAUAGUUUUCAGGACCAAUAUUUUACUUAAAAGGAUUGGGGAUUUUUAUCAAUUUACUGUUUUGAUUUGGUGACCUUAAAUUUAAUGUCUCUUUGCUGAUUGAAGUUUUUGUUUUUGAUUUUGCUGAUCUCUUUAGAUUUUUUUUUUUUCACAAUUUAUUUUGAUUUAUUUUAGAAGGUAUCUGUUCGGGACCGUCAUUCUACAAAUAACAGAAGGGGAAAUUACAGUUAUGAUAGAAGUGACCACCAUGGUGAGAGGGAAGGGAACUGGAAUGUUAAUUCAAAGCCUCGAGCUUCUGGGCGCAGCCAAAGUCGCAGCCAAGCUGAGAAGUCAAGCUCAAGGUUGGAUCGGUUGGUGUCAAAUGAGAGCCGAACUGAUAGGACAUGGGGCUCUCAUAGGCAUGAUACAUUCCCUCCAUACCAGUCUCAGAAUGGUCCAAUCCGUUCAAACUCUUCACAGAGUGGUUCUGCCAAUUUGGCAUAUGGCAUGUAUCCACUACAGUCCAUGAAUCCUGGAGUUUCAACAAAUGGACCUACAUUUCCACCUGUUGUCAUGCUAUAUCCUUAUGAUCAUAGUGCUGGAUUUGGAUCUCCUGCAGAACAGCUUGAGUUUGGAUCUCUUGGGCCAGUGGGUUUCUCAGGUGUAAAUGAGGUAUCAUAUUUAAAUGAGGGAAGUCAAUCGAGUGGGGCAUUUGAGGACCAAAGGUUUCAUGGCAGCUCUGCCCAGCGGUCUUCACCAGAUCAGCCUUCUUCACCUCAUCUUCCGAGGUAGUCAUCAUUCUGUUAAGUACAAGGUUUCUGAAUUGCAGUGGGCCAGCCAAGUUGUUUGUGGAUAAGUGGCAGAGUUUUAGAAUCGUACUACUAAGAGGGGCAUUUGAUUUUAUUGCCAGAUCAGUGGCCCAAAGAAAUUAUCAGUUGAAGGAUGAGGAUUUCCUACCUCUGAUAUUUCUGAACCAAAAAGGAAAUGAUGAUGGGAGAAACUAUGAUGAGAUACCCUCCAGUUACCAGGCCUUCAUGAUCUCACCUCAUUCAUAAAAAGGGAUAACUCGAAGGAAUCAUCUGAUAGUCUCAUGGGAAGGUCACCCAUUCUUGCUAGCUCAUACUUGUUUGUACACUAAUCGAUCAUUUUCUAACCUGCCCUUGUUGCAUGGAUGUAUCAGAUCAGCGGUAAGGGAAGAAGCAGGACUCGGUGAUUAGGUAUUAAUUGUAGGACACAAACAUGUUGUAACCCCACUGACGUAGAAGCUCGUAGGUUUAGAAUCUAUAAUUUUACAAUGUUAUACGUUUAUUUUCUCGGGAUUUUGUUCCAAGCGGUGGGUGUAUUAGGGAUUUUGAUGCACAAGCUUGGUGUGAGCAUCUCUUAUGAACUGAUGCUUAAGAUCGAAAUUGUAGCAAUACCCCGGCCGAUGAUAGUUGAAAAAGAUUACUCUUUCAUAGCUGGAAAAAAAGGGCGACCUAGUGCUCUUUUUAUUAGCUGCUUAAUUAUAGGCUUAUGGUGAUAUUACUGUAACACUGAUCGUUGAUAAUUCUUACCACUAACGAAUGUGUAUCUCCUCUCUCCUUUAUAGGCCCCUGUUUUAGAAGCUAUGUUAGCUCGACAAAAUACGAGGCCUUCAAAUAAUUGGUAAGUUGGUAACCAUUGUAACACUUGCAUCAUGACUAUGUCGAUUAAUGAAGUUUAACGUUUUAUGCUUGGAACUAA